UAGGGAAUCUUCCACAAUGGGCGAAGCCUGAUGGAGCAACGCCGCGUGUGUGAAGAAGGUUUUCGGAUCGUAAAACUCUGUUGGUAGAGAAGAACGUUGGUGAGAGUGGAAAGCUCAUCAAGUGACGGUAACUACCCAGAAAGGGACGGCUAACUACGUGCCAG
RNAcentral lists this ribosomal RNA (164 nucleotides) under uncultured bacterium. Its description in RNAcentral is "partial 16S ribosomal RNA". It matches the Rfam family "Bacterial small subunit ribosomal RNA", at positions 355 to 511 of the family's 1533-position model. The record is from RNAcentral.